Molecule: ribosomal RNA, 920 nt
Filed under: Sphingobacterium spiritivorum
Lineage: Bacteria; Pseudomonadati; Bacteroidota; Sphingobacteriia; Sphingobacteriales; Sphingobacteriaceae
Description: bacterial SSU rRNA
Rfam family: Bacterial small subunit ribosomal RNA
Source: RNAcentral
CGAACGAGAUUAUCCAGCUUGCUGGAUAUGAAAGUGGCGCACGGGUGCGUAACGCGUGAGCAACCUACCUCUGUCAGGGGGAUAGCCCGGCGAAAGUCGGAUUAACACCGCAUGACAUUAUUGAUGUGGCAUCACAUUAUAAUCAAAUAUUUAUAGGACAGAGAUGGGCUCGCGUGACAUUAGCUAGUUGGAGAGGUAACGGCUCACCAAGGCAACGAUGUCUAGGGGCUCUGAGAGGAGAAUCCCCCACACUGGUACUGAGACACGGACCAUACUCCUACGGGAGGCAGCAGUAAGGAAUAUUGGUCAAUGGAGGGAACUCUGAACCAGCCAUGCCGCGUGCAGGAUGACUGCCCUAUGGGUUGUAAACUGCUUUUGUCGGGGAAUAAACCUACGUUUGUAAACGUAGCUGAAUGUACCCGAAAAAUAAGGAUCGGCUAACUCCGUGCCAGCAGCCGCGGUAAUACGGAGGAUCCAAGCGUUAUCCGGAUUUAUUGGGUUUAAAGGGUGCGUAGGCGGUUCUUUAAGUCAGAGGUGAAAGACGGCAGCUUAACUGUCGCAGUGCCUUUGAUACUGAAGAACUUGAAUUAGGUUGAGGAAUGCGGAAUGAGACAAGUAGCGGUGAAAUGCAUAGAUAUGUCUCAGAACCCCGAUUGCGAAGGCAGCAUUCCAAGCCUUUAUUGACGCUGAUGCACGAAAGCGUGGGGGAUCGAACAGGAUUAGAUACCCUGGUAGUCCACGCCCUAAACGAUGAUAACUCGAUGUUGGCGAUAGACAGUCAGCGUCCCAGCGAAAGCGUUAAGUUAUCCACCUGGGGAGUACGCCCGCAAGGGUGAAACUCAAAGGAAUUUGACGGGGGCCCGCACAAGCGGAGGAGCAUGUGGUUUAAUUCGAUGAUACGCGAGGAACCUUACCCGGGC